UACGUAGGGUGCAAGCGUUAUCCGGAAUUAUUGGGCGUAAAGAGCUCGUAGGCGGUGUGUCACGUCGGCCGUGAAAACCUGCAGCUUAACUGUGGGCGUGCGGUCGAUACGGGCAUCACUGGAGUUCGGUAGGGGAGACUGGAAGUUCCUGGUGUAGCGGUGAAAUGCGCAGAUAUCAGGAGGAACACCGGUGGCGAAGGCGGGUCUCUGGGCCGAUACUGACGCUGAGGAGCGAAAGCGUGGGGAGCGAACAGG
RNAcentral lists this ribosomal RNA (255 nucleotides) under uncultured bacterium. Its description in RNAcentral is "partial 16S ribosomal RNA". It matches the Rfam family "Bacterial small subunit ribosomal RNA", at positions 524 to 776 of the family's 1533-position model. The record is from RNAcentral.